CAUGGUUUGCCAAUAGUUGAAGAAGGGGCCCCCAAGACAUGGGAAUGGAUGAAGAAGGAGUGUUCUAAACCUACCCCCUAAAACCAGAUUUUCUCCUCUACCAUCAAAAUUUGCUCUGGGAUUUGUCUGUCCACCUGGAGAGCAGGAGAAGUAUAGCAGCUCCCUGAGACUUCAGCGGCUGCCCUGGGCCCUGUUGCUACAAGAUGGAAGCAAACUGAGAAGGCUCGCUUGGCAAUGGAAUAACUGGCACUGGAAUGGUUUUCUCUGGUGACCUGUGGGCAGCAGCCUAGUUUAAGAUGUUCAGGAUGAACUCUGGGCCAAACAUAGGCCUGUCCUGCAACAGAGGGGGAUGUCCAAGGAGCUCAGGAGGAAGUGGAGCGGGAACUACCCCCAGUGCUGUACUGGUGCAAAAAUAUGCAUGAAAAUGUGUGCAAACGAGCUUGUGGGCAGUUUCUCCUCAUGGUCUGUUAAAAAGAAGCUGCAAAGUGGUGAAGAUCUGGAAUGGAAAGAACAUGUACUUUUAAACUAUGAGCAUUAUAUAAAGUGAAACAAGUAAACAAAUAGUCCAUGUCCUGGGAUGAUGCAGGAGUAAAGCAAAGCACAGUGUACUGCUUAUAUACGGCUCCACAGUACUAAAGCUCUCUCUUGUUUACAACCACCAGACCUCGGAAAGACUAACCUUGAGCCAGCUACCUGAAUCCAUUGGCAACGAACUCAGGUUGUAAGCAGAUUCUUGGCUGCAGUACUGCAGUUCAGCCACGAAAUCCACUGUGAAUCCUCCUUUUCCUGUGCUUCGGUCCUCCUAACUGUUUGUGUGUGGUCUGUUAUGUAGGAUUUUAAAAAGUCUUCCACCUACUGAAAAAUGAGAAGAAUAUUUUAAACUGCAAAAUUUUAUAGCACCUUAGGCAGCCCCAGCUAGAGGAGGGGAGUAAAUGUUAGCAAAUAGUGCAGUACAGAAAAAAAAGUGUUUUCUUUUAUCUGCAAAAUUUGACCACUCUGGAGGCACUACCUUCCAGCAACGAUGUUUUUCUAAGAUUUUUCUGUGCACCAGGAUCUAUCGAUUUGCUGCCAGUGCUUACAAGCCUAAAGGGAAGGUCGCAUUUUGUCAUAGCAGUUUUUUAAGAUAAAGACAAAUGUUUGUAGUGCUGGCCUUCGCUCACUUAAAAACAUAUCUGCCCAAUGAAAUAGGAUGUGUAAGCAGAACUAAAGAAAGAAAACCUUAACAGGUAACCUGCUUUUCAAAAAACGUUUGUCUCAUUAGAGUAAUAGGAAUGGCUACUGAUAAGACAGGCAGUUUCUGGAGGUUGUAGAAACACCUGGCAAUUAGUUUAGAAAUAGUUUCCUCUUUUAUAACCAGUUCUGAGCAUCAUUAGCUACAGCACGCUCUCUGCCUUUCUCAAGAGAUUCUGCUGAUGCAUAUGAAUUUAAGGUCUGUCCUUUUCUCAGGUGGUAAUUGACAAGGCAAAAGCCAGGAGCUCACCAGCCAAUCUUUGCUUUAAAAAAAACCCACCUACACAGCUUAUGGGGCUAUAAUUGCUCUCAGACCC
This is a long non-coding RNA of Pogona vitticeps (central bearded dragon), 1547 nucleotides long. NCBI's taxonomy places the organism in Eukaryota, Metazoa, Chordata, Lepidosauria, Squamata, Agamidae. The record is from Ensembl.